RNAcentral lists this small RNA (4007 nucleotides) under Pongo abelii (Sumatran orangutan). Its description in RNAcentral is "retained intron". The record is from RNAcentral. Lineage: Eukaryota; Metazoa; Chordata; Mammalia; Primates; Hominidae.
CGGACAGUGUUCGUCCCAUCCGGAGAGGAUCGCUUUCUCCUGGCGUCACCAGCGCUGGGUUGGUGGGGGUAGCUUUUCCCUCUUUGCUCCUCCAUUCUUGAAGAAAGAAGAAGAUGCCACUGCCAUUUGGGUUGAAACUGAAACGCACCCGGCGCUACACGGUGUCCAGCAAGAGUUGCCUGGUUGCCCGGAUCCAACUGCUUAAUAACGAGUUUGUGGAGUUCACCCUGUCCGUGGAGAGCACUGGCCAGGAAAGCCUCGAGGCCGUGGCCCAGAGGCUGGAGCUGCGGGAGGUCACUUACUUCAGCCUCUGGUACUACAACAAGCAAAAUCAGCGCCGGUGGGUAGAUUUGGAAAAACCUUUGAAGAAGCAGCUGGAUAAAUAUGCAUUGGAACCUACUGUCUAUUUUGGAGUGGUGUUUUAUGUGCCUUCAGUUUCUCAGCUGCAGCAGGAGAUUACCAGGUAUCAGUAUUAUCUGCAACUGAAGAAAGAUAUCUUGGAAGGAAGUAUUCCUUGUACCUUAGAACAAGCAAUUCAGCUAGCAGGCUUAGCUGUUCAAGCGGAUUUUGGUGACUUUGAUCAGUAUGAAUCCCAGGACUUUCUUCAGAAAUUUGCCUUGUUUCCUGUGGGAUGGUUACAAGAUGAAAAAGUACUGGAAGAAGCAACCCAAAAAGUGGCCUUACUACAUCAGAAAUACAGAGGGCUCACAGCUCCUGAUGCUGAAAUGCUGUACAUGCAGGAGGUAGAGAGAAUGGAUGGCUAUGGAGAAGAGAGCUACCCUGCUAAGGAUAGCCAAGGAAGUGACAUAUCCAUUGGAGCGUGUCUUGAAGGUAUCUUUGUGAAACACAAGAAUGGAAGGCAUCCUGUGGUAUUUAGGUGGCAUGACAUUGCCAACAUGUCCCACAACAAGUCCUUUUUUGCAUUAGAGCUGGCAAAUAAAGAGGAGACCAUCCAGUUUCAAACUGAAGACAUGGAAACAGCAAAAUACAUUUGGAGACUCUGUGUUGCGCGACACAAGUUUUACAGACUAAACCAUUGUAACCUGCAAACUCAGACUGUCACAGUGAACCCAAUCAGGAGGAGGUCUUCUUCAAGGAUGUCUCUGCCUAAACCCCAGCCCUACGUGAUGCCUCCCCCACCGCAGCUGCACUAUAAUGGACAUUAUACAGAACCAUAUGCUUCUUCUCAAGAUAAUCUCUUUGUGCCCAACCAGAACGGAUACUACUGUCACUCUCAGACAAGCUUGGAUAGAGCCCAGAUUGACCUCAACGGUCGGAUCCGUAACGGCAGUGUCUACAGCGCACACAGCACCAACUCCUUAAAUAAUCCUCAGCCCUACUUGCAGCCCUCGCCGAUGUCAUCCAACCCUAGCAUCACCGGGAGUGACGUCAUGAGGCCUGACUAUCUCCCGUCCCAUCGGCACAGCGCCCUGAUACCCCCGUCCUACCGCCCCACCCCAGACUAUGAGACUGUGAUGAAGCAGCUCAACAGGGGCCUGGUGCAUGCGGAACGGCAGAGCCACUCGCUGCGAAACCUCAACAUCGGCAGCUCGUACGCCUACAGCAGGCCCGCGGCGCUAGUCUACAGCCAGCCCGAGAUCCGCGAGCACGCACAGCUCCCCUCGCCGCCGGCCGCGCCCUGCCCGUUCAGCCUGAGCUACAGCUUCCACAGCCCGUCUCCCUACCCCUACCCUGUCGAGCGGCGGCCCGUGGUGGGCGCGGUCAGCGUGCCCGAGCUGACCAACGCGCAGCUGCAGGCGCAGGACUACCCGGCCCCCAACAUCAUGCGGACGCAGGUGUACCGGCCACCCCCACCCUACCCGCCCCCCAGGCCCGCCAACAGCACGCCAGACCUGUCCCGCCACCUUUACAUCAGCAGCAGCAACCCCGACCUCAUCACGCGACGCGUGCACCACUCGGUGCAGACGUUCCAGGAGGACAGCCUGCCCGUGGCGCACUCGCUGCAGGAGGUCAGCGAGCCCCUCACCGCCGCGCGCCACGCGCAGCUGCACAAACGGAACAGCAUCGAGGUGGCCGGGCUCAGCCACGGCCUGGAGGGCCUGCGGCUCAAGGAGCGGACCCUGUCCGCGUCGGCGGCAGAGGUGGUGCCGCGAGCCGUCUCGGCGGGCUCCCAGCCCAGCGUUUUCACCGAGAGGACACAGCGGGAAGGGCCGGAGGAGGCGGAGGGCUUGAGAUACGGCCAUAAGAAGUCCCUGUCGGACGCCACCAUGCUAAUCCACAGCAGCGAGGAGGAGGAGGACGAGGACUUCGAGGAGCAGAGGGGGCCCCGGGCGCCCCCUGCACGUGCGUGCAAGCCUCGGCCCGGCCUGGCCCAGGACCCACCUGGCUGCCCUCGUGCCCUGCUCGCCGGGCCCCUGCACAUCCUGGAGCCCAAGGUCCACGUCCCGGACGCGGAGAAGAGGAUGAUAGACAGCAGCCCCGUCCGCACGACCGCAGAGGCCCAGCGGCCCUGGAGAGACGGGCUGCUGAUGCCCUCCAUGUCGGAGUCCGACCUCACCACGUCGGGCCGCUACCGAGCCCGGAGGGACUCUCUGAAGAAGAGGCCGGUGUCGGACCUCCUCUCUGGGAAGAAGAACAUCGUGGAAGGGCUCCCGCCUCUGGGGGGAAUGAAAAAGACUCGAGUAGAUGCAAAAAAAAUUGGUCCUCUUAAACUGGCUGCCCUAAAUGGACUCUCCUUAUCUCGAGUGCCUCUGCCUGAUGAAGAAAAGGAAGUGGCUACCAGAGCAACGAAUGAUGAAAGGUGUAAAAUUCUGGAACAACGAUUAGAACAAGGAAUGGUAUUCACAGAAUAUGAAAGAAUUCUUAAGAAACGGCUAGUUGAUGGGGAGUGCUCAACAGCACGACUCCCUGAAAAUGCAGAAAGAAAUCGAUUCCAAGAUGUUCUUCCUUAUGAUGAUGCGAGAGUGGAGUUGGUCCCAACUAAAGAAAACAACACUGGUUACAUCAACGCAUCACAUAUUAAGGUCUCUGUCAGUGGAAUCGAAUGGGAUUAUAUUGCCACACAGGGACCAUUACAGAAUACCUGUCAAGAUUUUUGGCAGAUGGUAUGGGAACAGGGAAUUGCAAUUAUAGCAAUGGUGACAGCAGAAGAGGUAGGUACUCAUUUCUCUUAAGUGAUUUUCUCAGCCUCUGAAGAACAGUUAAUGUUAAUCAUCUAGAAUCCUGACCUGUGGAGAAAAAGGCAGGGUAGGGUUGUGGUUCUGUUUCAGAUGUGCCAUCUAUGUGAGAAAGGCAUCCAUUGCCGGGUCUCAAGUCAUUUAACCAUGCUUAUCUUUAACAGGAGGGUGGAAGGGAGAAGAGCUUUAGGUAUUGGCCACGACUUGGUUCCAGGCACAACACUGUCACCUAUGGAAGGUUUAAGAUCACGACCCGGUUCCGCACAGACUCUGGCUGCUAUGCCACCACGGGCCUGAAGAUGAAGCACCUCCUUACCGGGCAAGAAAGGACCGUCUGGCACCUUCAAUACACAGACUGGCCUGAACAUGGCUGUCCAGAAGACCUCAAGGGAUUUUUAUCAUAUCUUGAAGAGAUCCAGUCUGUUCGACGCCAUACAAAUAGCACAAGUGAUCCCCAAAGCCCCAACCCUCCAUUGUUGGUUCACUGCAGUGCUGGGGUAGGAAGGACUGGUGUGGUGAUUUUGUCGGAGAUCAUGAUCGCCUGCCUGGAACACAAUGAGGUGCUGGACAUCCCAAGAGUGCUGGACACGUUGAGGCAACAGAGAAUGAUGCUGGUGCAGACUCUCUGCCAGUACACGUUUGUGUACAGAGUCCUCAUCCAGUUCCUGAAAAGCUCCAGGCUCAUCUAAGCUCCCACAUUUCUUACGGGGCCAGUCAUGUGAAGCGUUUACAGCUUAAAAAAAAAGCGCUUGCCUAACUCAUACUUUCCCGUUAACACUUGAUCCACGCAGCGCGGCACUGGGACGUAAGUGGCGCAGUCUGAAUGGCAGCGCGCUGAAGGAAAUGUGCGAAGCACAGGCUGAAGAGGGG